AGUGAACGCUGGCGGUAGGCCUAACACAUGCAAGUCGAACGGCAGCACAGUAAGAGCUUGCUCUUACGGGUGGCGAGUGGCGGACGGGUGAGGAAUACAUCGGAAUCUACUUUUUCGUGGGGGAUAACGUAGGGAAACUUACGCUAAUACCGCAUACGACCUACGGGUGAAAGCAGGGGAUCUUCGGACCUUGCGCGAUUGAAUGAGCCGAUGCCGGAUUAGCUAGUUGGCGGGGUAAAGGCCCACCAAGGCGACGAUCCGUAGCUGGUCUGAGAGGAUGAUCAGCCACACUGGAACUGAGACACGGUCCAGACUCCUACGGGAGGCAGCAGUGGGGAAUAUUGGACAAUGGGCGCAAGCCUGAUCCAGCCAUACCGCGUGGGUGAAGAAGGCCUUCGGGUUGUAAAGCCCUUUUGUUGGGAAAGAAAAGCAGCAGGUUAAUACCCCGCUGUUCUGACGGUACCCAAAGAAUAAGCACCGGCUAACUUCGU
RNAcentral lists this ribosomal RNA (491 nucleotides) under uncultured bacterium. RNAcentral describes it as "partial 16S ribosomal RNA". It matches the Rfam family "Bacterial small subunit ribosomal RNA", at positions 29 to 506 of the family's 1533-position model. The record is from RNAcentral.